This 1049-nucleotide long non-coding RNA is filed under the name Felis catus (domestic cat). Its description in RNAcentral is "lncRNA (ENSFCAG00000050633.1)". Lineage: Eukaryota; Metazoa; Chordata; Mammalia; Carnivora; Felidae. The record is from RNAcentral.
UGCAAAUUUGAAUCCGGGGAGCCUUAAUAGGCUUGUUCUAUCUGAUCCUGACUGCUGUGAAAUAGUCUCAGACCUGACACGUGGAAAAUAUCAAAAAGUCUCUUUGGCUCAUUUCAGGAUGAAGGUCACAUCCAUAUUAAUUGCCCUUAUAGUGAAGCCUUCCUGGAGGCCACCUGUCAGCACAUCUGGAGCUCAUGUUGCUGCUGCUUCCAACACGGCACCAUUUCCAUCUCUACUCUGACUUCAAAGACCCAUCAAGGUUGAUGACUGUUGGCAACCAACAAAAGGCAGCAAUAUACCCAAUUUUCAAGAUUGAAUGGAACUUGACAGAGUAUCAAGCAGAAUAUCAGUCAAGGAGGCUGAUUUUCAAGGAAGGAAUAGUGUUUCAAGAAAGAAAUAAAGUUUGAAGUAAGAAUUGAUUGUCAGUGAACAAAGUUAAGAUAUGUCAGUAGUAUGGCAAGGCCAAAGCACUGGGGAAGGUGGUAUUGAGUGAAAGUCACCCCAGAAAGAAUCUGUUGGUGGGAAAGUGAUUACCCAGUGCCCAUGGAAGGGAAAUCAUAUUUCAGGUCCAUAAAAUAAGACAUUACUAGGCACACCUCUUAUGUCUCUGUGCUUGUUUGGAUUGGUUUAAGAAUUAUAUUGGGGUAAAUUGACAUGUAGAUAUUAAAGUCAACAAUUGAUGAGAAUUAAAUAUAGAAAGCUUAUUAUUAUCUUUACAUGAGUGGUUUCAAACUUUACCAUACAUAACCAUUAUAUAGAGGGAUUCUUGAAACACAGAUUUGGGGGCUCCACCCCAUUUCCAAUUCAGCCCUGCUUUGAGUAAGGAUAAGAAUUGGCAUUCUAAGCAAUUUUCUAGUUAUGCAGUUGCUGCUUGUUUAGAGACCAUAUUUUGGCAAAUAACUGCACUUGCCUGGACUAUUAGUUUCAGUGGAUCACAUGCAUUUUGCAAGCUCCAAUAAUUCCCUGCCUUCCUCCUCCAACACUUUAAACAAGUGAGCAAAUAUAAGUAUCUGAAUAAAAUUUCAGACACUAAUAUGUAGUACUAUGUG